RNAcentral lists this ribosomal RNA (472 nucleotides) under uncultured bacterium. RNAcentral describes it as "bacterial SSU rRNA". It matches the Rfam family "Bacterial small subunit ribosomal RNA", at positions 335 to 798 of the family's 1533-position model. The record is from RNAcentral.
ACUCCUACGGGAGGCAGCAGUGGGGAAUAUUGCACAAUGGGCGCAAGCCUGAUGCAGCCAUGCCGCGUGUAUGAAGAAGGCCUUCGGGUUGUAAAGUACUUUCAGCAGUGAGGAAGGUGGGUAUGUUAAUAGCAUACUCAUUUGACGUUAGCUGCAGAAGAAGCACCGGCUAACUCCGUGCCAGCAGCCGCGGUAAUACGGAGGGUGCGAGCGUUAAUCGGAAUUACUGGGCGUAAAGCGCAUGCAGGUGGUUUGUUAAGUCAGAUGUGAAAGCCCGGGGCUCAACCUCGGAAUUGCAUUUGAAACUGGCAAACUAGAGUACUGUAGAGGGGGGUAGAAUUUCAGGUGUAGCGGUGAAAUGCGUAGAGAUCUGAAGGAAUACCGGUAGGCGAAGGCGGCCCCCUGGACAGAUACUGACACUCAGAUGCGAAAGCGUGGGGAGCAAACAGGAUUAGAUACCCUGGUAGUCUGC